This 392-nucleotide ribosomal RNA is filed under the name uncultured bacterium. RNAcentral describes it as "partial 16S ribosomal RNA". It matches the Rfam family "Bacterial small subunit ribosomal RNA", at positions 523 to 918 of the family's 1533-position model. The record is from RNAcentral.
AUACGGAGGAUGCGAGCGUUAUCCGGUUUUAUUGGGUUUAAAGGGAGCGUAGGCGGGAGCUUAAGUCAGCGGUUAAAUGGUGCGGCUCAACCGUGCCCUGCCGUUGAAACUGGGUUUCUUGAGAGCGCAAGAGGCGGGUGGAAUUCUGUGUGAAGGGGUGAAAUGCUUAGAUAUCAUGAAGAACUCCGAUUGCGAAGGCAGUCCGCUGGGGCACGUCUGACGCUGAUGCUCGAAGGUGCGGGAAUCAAACAGGAUUAGAUACCCUGGUAGUCCGCACGGUAAACGAUGAUUACCCGCUGUCGGCGGUAGACAAUCGGCGGCCAAGCGAAAGCGAUAAGUAAUCCACCUGGGGAGUACGCCGGCAACGGUGAAACUCAAAUGAAUUGACGGGG